UCCCCCAUCCACCAGAUGACGGGAGUGUGUUUGUGAGGACGAAAUAUUUGCCAUUUGUUUGUUGUUUCCGAGACGCUGACUGAAAGUGUGUUCCAAAAUCAUUACGGAAUUGAGGUGUCGAUCUACAUUUUCAGCCAUGAAAUGUAUUUGGCAAUCUGGCAUAUAAUAUCACUUGGCCAAAUAUGUGACGUGGGUCGAAACUGAUGUCCAUUUUGCCGAAAUGUCGGCCAUUGUUAGCUGUACCUAUAUACGGCAUGGUAUACGGCUGUUCGUCUCAUCUCGUGCAGAAACACUUUAGAGCUGGUUUGAGAUGGAUAUCCCUUUGCUCAACUAUUGCAUAAAUUAAGAACACGACAAAGUCUGAGCUUCAUGGCUGCCGAAUCAUUAACACAGUUUUGUUGCAGCCAGCUGGUGAAAGAUGUGAUCGAGUCAAGUUGAGCUGUAGCUGCUGCAUGCAGUUUAUCAAGCUGGGUUAAAGUGUCACUGCAGGAAGACUUCUUGAAUUGGAGUUCAUGGUCGGUUUGAUGUUUAUGGUGUUGCUGUUUGGUGUACAGUGGUUUUGCAGCCCCUUUCCAAUUGAGAGAUGCCCUGAAAUUGAGCUUGUGAAGACUUGUAGUUCAACAUCACACUUAAAUGUCUCUUUUGUCUAUGCAUGGUAUCCAUGCAGUAUAUGCAGUGUUGAACAGUUGGGUAAAAUAGUCAAUGAUGUUUGAUGUCGGUCUUAUUUUAUCGGUUGCACUUUGUCGAUAUGUUGUCUCUUGGUACCGGCGUUGAGUUUAAUCGUUUGCUGCCGUUCCAUAGACUUGAUCCAUUGGUAAAACUGAGGAGAGGUUGCUGAAAUUCAAGACUCGUCAAUAAAUUAUGUAGAU
This 869-nucleotide long non-coding RNA is filed under the name Daphnia pulicaria. Its description in RNAcentral is "uncharacterized LOC124311612, transcript variant X4". Lineage: Eukaryota; Metazoa; Arthropoda; Branchiopoda; Diplostraca; Daphniidae. The record is from RNAcentral.